Molecule: ribosomal RNA, 497 nt
Filed under: uncultured bacterium
Lineage: Bacteria
Description: partial 16S ribosomal RNA
Rfam family: Bacterial small subunit ribosomal RNA
Source: RNAcentral
GAUGAACGCUGGCGGCGUGCCUAAUACAUGCAAGUCGAGCGAACAGACGAGGAGCUUGCUCCUCUGACGUUAGCGGCGGACGGGUGAGUAACACGUGGAUAACCUACCUAUAAGACUGGGAUAACUUCGGGAAACCGGAGCUAAUACCGGAUAAUAUAUUGAACCGCAUGGUUCAAUAGUGAAAGACGGUUUUGCUGUCACUUAUAGAUGGAUCCGCGCCGCAUUAGCUAGUUGGUAAGGUAACGGCUUACCAAGGCAACGAUGUGUAGCCGACCUGAGAGGGUGAUCGGCCACACUGGAACUGAGACACGGUCCAGACUCCUACGGGAGGCAGCAGUAGGGAAUCUUCCGCAAAGGGCGAAAGCCUGACGGAGCAACGCCGCGUGAGUGAUGAAGGUCUUCGGAUCGUAAAACUCUGUUAUUAGGGAAGAACAAAUGUGUAAGUAACUAUGCACGUCUUGACGGUACCUAAUCAGAAAGCCACGGCUAACUACGUG